This 493-nucleotide ribosomal RNA is filed under the name uncultured bacterium. RNAcentral describes it as "partial 16S ribosomal RNA". It matches the Rfam family "Bacterial small subunit ribosomal RNA", at positions 30 to 523 of the family's 1533-position model. The record is from RNAcentral.
AUUGAACGCUGGCGGCAUGCUUUACACAUGCAAGUCGAACGGUAACAGGUUAAGCUGACGAGUGGCGAACGGGUGAGUAAUGCAUCGGAACGUGCCCGGUCGUGGGGGAUAACACUUCGAAAGAAGUGCUAACACCGCAUACGAUCUAAGGAUGAAAGCGGGGGACCGUAAGGCCUCGCGCGAUUGGAGCGGCCGAUGGCAGAUUAGGUAGUUGGUGGGGUAAAGGCUCACCAAGCCGACGAUCUGUAGCUGGUCUGAGAGGACGACCAGCCACACUGGGACUGAGACACGGCCCAGACUCCUACGGGAGGCAGCAGUGGGGAAUUUUGGACAAUGGGCGCAAGCCUGAUCCAGCAAUGCCGCGUGCAGGAAGAAGGCCUUCGGGUUGUAAACUGCUUUUGUACGGAGCGAAAAGGCUCUCUCUAAUACAGGGGGCUGAUGACGGUACCGUAAGAAUAAGCACCGGCUAACUACGUGCCAGCCGCCGCGGUAA